AUCGUAUUGUUAGCAGAAUUCUUUUAAUUUUUCACGCAAAUUAACGUUAAUUACAGAAACGUAAAGCAAUAACAUCUUGGCUUAAAAAAUAUCUUGCUCUCAUUUCCUUUUACUUGGAAAUGUGUGAAAAUGUGGGACCAGUUUUUUUCCGCUAAGUUACACACAGCUGCUUGCAAUUUUUUAAGAGUGUGUCUCUUUGCACAAGCACACCGAUAGAAGAAAAAAAAUGCAAAAACGAUUCCGAAAAUUUGCAGCAAAACAAGGAUUCAUCAACGCGAUUUAAUAGUGAAAUUAGUGUCGUUUGCAUCUGCUCAUAAUGCGCUAUCAAUGUCGUCAUCAAUUAGGACGCGAUGCGGCAAAAAGCCAAUCAAGAAUGCUGCUGCAAAACAUGGCAAGCCGUUGUCGUUACUGUCGGAGCAAGGGUCGAUUUACUACGACUCUAGGUCAAAGUGGCCAUCGGAAGAACAGCUUCAAACAUUGCUGCCUUCUAUCCUCAGCAAACCGGACAACAAUCCAGUGAUCCCCGAAAGCCGCUUCGGAUUCGUCUCCUGUGGUAACCGUAUAGCAUCCCGGAGAACAAACCAAAUAUCAAAAGGUGCCCAAAGACCAUCCCUAAAACGAAUGUAAUUCUGUCGAACAGCUGCUUCCAGUGUGAGACUGAUAAAGAGAGUGGUCUAGAAUAAAUGUUUCAUGUAACAAUAUUUGAUUCAAACCUCAUAAAUAAAAAAAUAAAUUUAUUUAUGCUGUUAA
This is a long non-coding RNA of Aedes aegypti (yellow fever mosquito), 750 nucleotides long. RefSeq lists it as uncharacterized. The record is from RefSeq and is a predicted model, not a curated record. Lineage: Eukaryota; Metazoa; Arthropoda; Insecta; Diptera; Culicidae. The transcript has 2 exons.